AUAGUAGCGAAGUCCGGAUACAUGCUGUCAAGAAAAGCCGCUAUUGCGCCAUAUGUACCCGUACCGUAAACCGACACAGGUGGAUGAGGAGAGAAUCCUAAGGCCGGCGGGAGAAGUGUUGUUAAGGAACUCGGCAAAAUGGCCCCGUAACUUCGGGAGAAGGGGCGCCCAGAAAUGGGCCGCAGAGAAAAGGCUCAAGCAACUGUUUAGCAAAAACACAGGUCUAUGCGAAACCGAAAGGUGAGGUAUAUGGGCUGACGCCUGCCCGGUGCUGGAAGGUUAAGGGGAGAGGUUAGCCGCAAGGCGAAGCUUUGAACUUAAGCCCCAGUAAACGGCGGCCGUAACUAUAACGGUCCUAAGGUAGCGAAAUUCCUUGUCGGGUAAGUUCCGACCCGCACGAAAGGCGUAAUGAUUUGAGCACUGUCUCGACAACACACCCGGUGAAAUUGAAAUACCAGUGAAGAUGCUGGUUACCUGCGCCAGGACGGAAAGACCCCAUGGAGCUUUACUCUAGUUUGAUACUGGGACCCGGUAUGACAUGUACAGGAUAGGUGGGAGGCUAAGAAUUGAUGACGCCAGUCAUUAAGGAGCCGCUGUUGGGAUACCACCCUUGUGAUGCCAGGUUUCUAACGAGCUGCCGUGAACCGGCAGGCGGACAAUGUCAGGCGGGGAGUUUGACUGGGGCGGUCGCCUCCGAAAGGGUAUCGGAGGCGCUCAAAGGUUCCCUCAGAAUGGUUGGAAACCAUUCGGAGAGUGCAAAGGCAGAAGGGAGCCUGACUGCGACACCGACGGGUGGAGCAGGUACGAAAGUAGGACUUAGUGAUCCGGUGGUAUAAAGUGGGAUUGCCAUCGCUCAACGGAUAAAAGCUACCCUGGGAUAACAGGCUUAUCACUCCCAAGAGUUCACAUCGACGGAGUGGUUUGGCACCUCGAUGUCGGCUCAUCGCAUCCUGGGGCUGGAGUAGGUCCCAAGGGUUGGGCUGUUCGCCCAUUAAAGCGGUACGCGAGCUGGGUUCAGAACGUCGUGAGACAGUUCGGUCCCUAUCCGGCGCGGGCGUAAGAGAUUUGAGAGGAGCUGUCCUUAGUACGAGAGGACCGGGAUGGACGGACCACUGGUGUAUCUGUUGCACCACCAGGUGCACGGCAGAGUAGCCAAGUCCGGACGGGAUAAACGCUGAAGGCAUCUAAGCGUGAAGCCCCCCUCAAGAUGAGAUCUCUCAUUCGAAAGAAGUAAGACCCCUUGAAGACGACGAGGUAGAUAGGGCAGGGGUGGAAGGGCAGUGAUGUCCGGGGCUGACUGUUACUAAUCGGUCGAGGGCUUGACCU
Molecule: ribosomal RNA, 1326 nt
Filed under: metagenome
Description: bacterial LSU rRNA
Rfam family: Bacterial large subunit ribosomal RNA
Source: RNAcentral